This is a non-coding RNA of Aegilops tauschii subsp. strangulata, 589 nucleotides long. The record is from RefSeq and is a predicted model, not a curated record. NCBI's taxonomy places the organism in Eukaryota, Viridiplantae, Streptophyta, Magnoliopsida, Poales, Poaceae.
CACACACACACACACACACACACACCCCACCCCCGAAGAGUCCGAAGAGUUCGGGUUCGACAAGUCCGAUGUCGCGCUUGUACAACUACGCCCGAAUACCGUGGAUGCAACAAGUUCCACUACGAGAUGUACCACUACCGUCGCCAAGAUCGCGAGUACCUCUAUCGUCGCCGUGAACGACUACUUCCACGACGUCCGUGAACUACUACUUCCACUACCGCCGCAAGAACGACUACUUCCACUACGGCCCGUGUACCACUACUUCCUUCGUUGAACUUGACCCGCUCCUAAACGCACGCUUCGAAGUUGCAGGUGCCGAUGAUACCAGUACAGGUGACGCAACCCAGCUCAGAUGGGAGCUCGAUGAAGAUCGUGUUCGUUGUGUUGUUUCGUUUCCAGUUGAUCAGUAGUGGAGCCCAGUCGGGGCGAUCGGGGAUCUAGCAUUAGGGGUUGUCUUUCUUUAUUUGGUUCCGUAGUCGGACCUUGAUUGUAUUCUGGUUGAUUUAAUGCUUUAUUUAUGUAUUGUGUGAAGUGGCGAUUGUAAGCCAACUCUUUAUCCCUUUCUUAUUCAGUACAUGGGAUGUGUAAA